RNAcentral lists this ribosomal RNA (131 nucleotides) under Escherichia coli. RNAcentral describes it as "partial 23S ribosomal RNA". It matches the Rfam family "Bacterial large subunit ribosomal RNA", at positions 2800 to 2925 of the family's 2925-position model. Lineage: Bacteria; Pseudomonadati; Pseudomonadota; Gammaproteobacteria; Enterobacterales; Enterobacteriaceae. The record is from RNAcentral.
CGAGAUGAGUUCUCCCUGACCCUUUCAGGGUCCUGAAGGAACGUUGAAGACGACGACGUUGAUAGGCCGGGUGUGUAAGCGCAGCGAUGCGUUGAGCUAACCGGUACUAAUGAACCGUGAGGCUUAACCUU